CCUACGGGUGGCAGCAGUGAGGAAUAUUGGUCAAUGGCCGGAAGGCUGAACCAGCCAAGCCGCGUGAAGGACGAAGGUGCCAAGCAUUGUAAACUUCUUUUGUCAAGGGACAAAAUCAGGCUCGAGAGCCUGACCGAGGGUACUUGAAGAAAAAGCAUCGGCUAACUCCGUCCCAGCAGCCCCGGUAAUACGGAGGAUGCGAGCGUUAUCCGGAUUUAUUGGGUUAAAAGGGUGCGUAGGCGGACUGUUAAGUCAGCGGUAAAAGCCCGGGGCUCAACCCCGGCGAGCCGUUGAAACUGGCGGUCUUGAGAGGGCGAGAGGUAUGCGGAAUGCGUAGUGUAGCGGUGAAAUGCAUAGAUAUUGCGCAGAACUCAGAUUGCGAAGGCAGCAUACCGGUGGAGAACUGACGCUGAGGCACGAAAGCGUGGGUAUCGAACAGGAUUAGAGACCCCAGUAGUC
Molecule: ribosomal RNA, 459 nt
Filed under: uncultured bacterium
Lineage: Bacteria
Description: partial 16S ribosomal RNA
Rfam family: Bacterial small subunit ribosomal RNA
Source: RNAcentral